GCUGGCGGCGUGCCUAACACAUGCAAGUCGAACGAGAAAGUGGAGCAAUCCAUGAGUAAAGUGGCGACCGGGUGAGUAACACGUGACUACCUACCCUUGAGUGGGGGAUAACCUCGGGAAACCGAGGCUAAUACCGCAUAAUAUCGAAAGAUCAAAGGAGCAAUCCGCUUUUGGAGGGGGUCGCGGCUGAUUAGCUAGUUGGUAGGGUAAUGGCCUACCAAGGCGAAGAUCGGUAUCCGGCCUGAGAGGGCGCACGGACACACUGGAACUGAAACACGGUCCAGACUCCUACGGGAGGCAGCAGUGGGGAAUUUUGCGCAAUGGGGGAAACCCUGACGCAGCAACGCCGCGUGGAGGAUGAAGCCCCUUGGGGUGUAAACUCCUUUCGACCGGGAAAAUUAUGAUGGUACCGGUGGAAGAAGCACCGGCUAACUCUGUGCCAGCAGCCGCGGUAAUACAGAGGGUGCGAGCGUUGUUCGGAAUUAUUGGGCGUAAAGGGCGCGUAGGCGGUAUUGUAAGUCACCUGUGAAACCUCUGGGCUUAACUCA
Molecule: ribosomal RNA, 548 nt
Filed under: uncultured soil bacterium
Lineage: Bacteria
Description: bacterial SSU rRNA
Rfam family: Bacterial small subunit ribosomal RNA
Source: RNAcentral